Pseudophryne corroboree (corroboree frog) is the source of this 1094-nucleotide long non-coding RNA. RefSeq lists it as uncharacterized. Lineage: Eukaryota; Metazoa; Chordata; Amphibia; Anura; Myobatrachidae. The transcript is spliced from 3 exons. The record is from RefSeq and is a predicted model, not a curated record.
ACAGCAGCCGGCAGCAGCUUAACAACUACAAGUGUGCUAAUUGGCAGCUGCGACCGAAGGCCCGCCCCCACAAUAUCAUGCAGGUCCAUCCACACAUGUGGUGCCACAACGGAAAUGCAGUCUGGGUGUGUCUUAACGGCCAAUACAGAUCACAACACCAUGUUGACGCAUGUCGGAGGUAUCAGCUGUCCCACCAAUGCAACUCCUUGACAGCCCGCAGCCAUUGUCACCACAUUUGCCACACCUGUCUUGGGAACCCAUUCUUCACCCAACUCAGUCAGGCCAAGUGCAGGAACCUGACAAUGAAGAUACAUUAACUUUAAAUCUCACAGUAAUACCACCACCUGACCCGACAACUACACAUUUGUCUACUCCACCCACUCAAAGGACACCACAACAGGACAUAAGCCCUACCACACCACUACCACAGUCUCAGGAACAGGUUUUAUGGGACAGCUGGUCCACCCAGCAAGCCAAUAAUUAGAUUGUUUGCGUAGGCAAACCCAAUUUAUUGCUAGUCUGGCCCAUCAUGUCCCAAGAUUAUGCAGAAGCAACACCAGACAAACCACAGAACUCAUCAGAAUGGCUAACACCCUGGAAUUAAUGAGGACAAACAAUAAUAGGAUGCUAGACACAUACCAACAAAUUAUGGAUGAGAAUGACAGGCUCCAUCAAUCAUACCUGCAGAUAUUAACUGCAACACAAAAAACAGACGAGAACAUGGUCAGAAUAAUGGAAACCCACAUGACAGCCACACACGACAGCACCUAGAGACUUGAAUGUCACUCUAAUUACCCUAACCCAGUAUCUCAAUCAAUCUGAGCAAACAAGUACCAGCUCAACAGCCACAACCCCUUUAGUGUCACCUGUAACCUCACCACCAACACGUUCUGGAUGAACACGACCAGACACAAGUGGGAAAGGCCCAUCCAGAUCCAGAGGAUGACCUGCAAAAUUAUUGUUCAUAAUCAUGUGUUGAAAUGGACAUUGGUAAUUCUAUGUAAGUAGCAUUUUACAUGUUCUUUACAAAAUUAAGGAAAUGGUUUAUGAUUUGAAAACAAAUGUUACUAAUUAACAUAUCCAAAACUAAAACC